GUGACCGGCCGGUGUGGCUGUGUGCUGUCUGUCACCCCAGCGCCCUGGACCUCAGUCUGCAGAGAAGCAGCUGUGACAAGCACAGAAAGGCAGGCACUGGUGCCUCCUGUCGAAGCCCCCAAUGCACCAGCAGCCCUCGUGUUAAUUUAAGAAGUUGACUGAACAAUCUGGCACAGUCGCUGGAAACUGAAGAAGGUGGGAAGAGGCUAAGCAAAACCCUUGCUUAAUUAAAAGCAUAUCUGCAAAAGGUCAGGCCUGGCAGGAGGAUGACAAAGGCAGUCAGAAUUUUAAAAUCAAGUCAUUCUCUCUUGCGAGAUUUCUUCCAGACCCUGAUGGAUUAGGGAUGCUGGGUUUUCUCUUCCAACAGAGCCUGCACAGCUGAGUCGGGGCUUUUGGGAGAUUGAUGACUGAUGACAAAAACAGGGCAGCACUCGGUGACUUUCUGCUGGUUCUUGAGAAUCCAAAUGAAAGUCCUACCCUGAACCUGCUCUGCAAAGGGGACCCACAUGAGGUCGCUUGGAAAGGGUCCUGACCCACCCACCAUGUCAAGCAAUUAUUUUUCUGGACAGCUUCCUGAUGUCCCCAAGGAGAGAGAGAGCGUGACAGCCAGUGAGGGAAAGCAUGCCACAGGUCCCGCCUGCUAACCUGGCAGGAGGGUGCUUGCAACACCUAAUUUAUCAACGCUUGUUUUCCCUGCUGGAGCCAAGUACACAAAAUCACUCCGCCAACAGAGAAAGAGAAAGGGGAAGCCAUUCUUCACCUUUUUCAGUAAUGUAUUUUUGUUUUGGUCAAUUUCCCAGAUAAAUUAUGGUCUUGUCUCAUUGCUGCAUUGGUGGAAUUCUUGCUAGUGUUAUUUAGUACAUUUUAAAGCUGUGUGAAACCAAAAGGUACUUAAAAAAAAAAAAAAAAGGAAAGUUAACCAAAUUGAAGGGUAAAUUUUUUACAUUGUUCCACUGGCUCCAGUUGGAGCUUAAUCAUCACGACCCUUCCUUCAGUCCACAGCGCCUGCUUCAAGAUGCAGCAGAAGUCAAAAUUGCAAGAGUCUGGAUGUUUUGCUUUCGUGUAACUCAUUAGGCAUUUCCCCCUGUGCUAUGAUAAAUGUCUCUCUCAACCAGAAAUUUUAUCUCACCUGUGUAUGUCCCUAUUUCACUCUGCGGAAUCACUCUCAGGAAAUACAAGCUAAUGAUGUCUGUGGUUCUGAAAUUUCCUUGUUAUUAUUUGUUUAAGACAUUUUUUAAAAAAACCUGUGGACAGCUUAUUAAAAGGAUGCUGAGCAAUGAAAACAUUAUUAGACCAUAUUAUUGUUUAUUGUACCCAGAUGUCGUGCAUUUUACACAUCCCAAAGGAUUAGUAGUAAUGUUGGAUACCAAAAUCUUACUUUUCCUUGCAGAUAUUGAGACUAAAUUUUUCUCAUUAAAAACAAAACAUUUACACUGAACAAAUGGUGCGUGUCCGGGUGAAGCAUCAGGUCUCAAGAAGGCAACACUGCUCAAACGAGACUUAGGACAGAACUGGAGACCAAAACAAAGCUGAGGCUACUGUUGGAAAUACUGGUCUAAAAAAAGGAAGAGUGUGGUAUGCUUGUUUUUUAGUUUUAUAGAAUUUUCCAUUUGGAAAGGAGAGAAAUGCAUACAUCCAAGCUGAAAUAAACCAUUCUAGCAAACAUGCCGAGGAAUAAUUUUCAAGAAUGUUUUGUUUUUAAUGAAAAGGAAAGCAAAUCAAAGAAAACCUGGGUAAGUGUUAAAGAGUACUAAAUUUAUAGUAAGGUUCAGGCAAUCUGCCCACUGCAAUCAGAAAGGUUUGGGCUGUUAGUCAUUUAAGACACACAAUGGGAAAAUAAACAAAGAAGGAGGAAGGGGGAAUGGUAAACUGUAGUUUGGCAGCAAAAUUAGUCCAGCUAGUUCCAUUACAUAUUAAACCAUGUCACAAAGCAAAUAAUUGAAAUAAUGAGGAGCUCAUUUUUUAAAAGAUAUAUAGAGUAGCAUAACAGAAUCAACAAAAAUAAGACUGUUUUAUAUAACAAUUCAAUAGACAAUAAAUAAGCACUCCAUUUGGGGAAAAGAAUCACACAAUAAAUGAUGCUGGGAUGGCUUGUGAGUAAUUUGGAGAAAACUGAUCUAGAAUGAGAGCGAGUAUUCCACAUUCGCCACUCUCUUGUCUUUUGGCUUUCUAUCACCUUGGCCAAUGGAGGAAGACAGCAAAAAACAGGAAGGAGGAAGAGUAUGAAGGGAGUCAUUUCUCCCCGGCACUCCAUGCCAGGUUGCUCCAGAAGGCUGUGUCUCUGUCCUAAGGGCUACAGCUUGGCUUGGGCAGUCUUUCCAUACAACUCUCCAGGUUCGGGAAAUUGCUUACUCAUCUGCCCCUGCAAGUGCAGGGAUGACAAUCACUUCCAGCUGAGCUGAGCCCAGCAUGCUGCAUCAUUCUUUGUUGAUGUCCCUCAACUCCGCUGGCGCUAUCUUGAUUAUCCUUAGGCUUACCUCAGUUCCCCAGUCCUAGUGGGCCUUCUGGUUCCUCCUGGGGCACUGACUGAUCCAGGUGCCCUGGGGUUCAGUCGCUAAGUUUCAGCUUCCUAUGUGAUGGGGUUUGGUUCUGUCCUUGUCUAAAUCUCAUGUUGAAUUGUAAUCCCCAGUGCUGGAGGUGGGGCCUGGUGAGAGGUGACUGGAUCAUGGGGUGGAUUUCUCACGAAUAGUUUAGUGCCGUUCCGUUGGUGCUAUCCUCAUGAUAGUGAGUGAGUUCUUGCAAAAUCUGGUCAUUUAAAAGUGCUCCUGCUUUUGCCAUGUGAUGUGUGACAUGCGUACUCCCGCUUCACCUUCCACCACGAUUGUAAGUUUCCUGAGGCUUCCCCAGAAACUGAGCAGAUGCCAGUAUCAUGCUUCCUGUACAGCCUGAGGAUCCAUGAGCCAAUUAAACCUCUUUUCUCUAUAAAUUAUCCAGUCUCAGGUAUUUUUUAUAGCAAUGCAAGAACAGCCUAAUACUGUGCAAUUUCAGAAUCCCAAGUUUCUCUAUUUACCCAAGACCGGGGGGUGCUCCCGCGGCCUGAUUCAUGCUCACAGACAUGCAAA
Molecule: long non-coding RNA, 3062 nt
Filed under: Homo sapiens (human)
Lineage: Eukaryota; Metazoa; Chordata; Mammalia; Primates; Hominidae
Description: non-protein coding lnc-COPS8-2:2
Source: RNAcentral